GAUGAACGCUGGCGGCGUGCCUAAUACAUGCAAGUCGAGCGAACGGACGAGAAGCUUGCUUCUCUGAUGUUAGCGGCGGACGGGUGAGUAACACGUGGAUAACCUACCUAUAAGACUGGGAUAACUUCGGGAAACCGGAGCUAAUACCGGAUGAUAUUUUGAACCGCAUGGUUCAAAAGUGAAAGACGGUCUUGCUGUCACUUAUAGAUGGAUCCGCGCUGCAUUAGCUAGUUGGUAAGGUAAUGGCUUACCAAGGCAACGAUGCAUAGCCGACCUGAGAGGGUGAUCGGCCACACUGGAACUGAGACACGGUCCAGACUCCUACGGGAGGCAGCAGUAGGGAAUCUUCCGCAAUGGGCGAGAGCCUGACGGAGCAACGCCGCGUGAGUGAUGAAGGUCUUCGGAUCGUAAAACUCUGUUAUUAGGGAAGAACAUAUGUGUAAGUAACUGUGCACAUCUUGACGGUACCUAAUCAGAAAGCCACGGCUAACUACGUG
This 497-nucleotide ribosomal RNA is filed under the name uncultured bacterium. RNAcentral's name for it is "partial 16S ribosomal RNA". It matches the Rfam family "Bacterial small subunit ribosomal RNA", at positions 28 to 507 of the family's 1533-position model. The record is from RNAcentral.